RNAcentral lists this ribosomal RNA (450 nucleotides) under uncultured bacterium. Its description in RNAcentral is "partial 16S ribosomal RNA". It matches the Rfam family "Bacterial small subunit ribosomal RNA", at positions 354 to 796 of the family's 1533-position model. The record is from RNAcentral.
GUGGGGAAUAUUCCGCAAUGGACGAAAGUCUGACGGAGCAACGCCGCGUGAGUGAUGAAGGUUUUCGGACUGUAAAGCUCUGUUGUUUAGGACGAAAGUGCCUGUUGCAAAUAGUUACAGGUAUUGACGGUACUGAACGAGGAAGCCACGGCUAACUACGUGCCAGCAGCCGCGGUAAUAAGUAGGUGGCAAGCGUUGUCCGGAAUUAUUGGGCGUAAAGAGCAUGUAGGCGGGAAUCUAAGUCUGUUGUGAAAAUGCGGGGCUCAACCCCGUAUUGCGAUGGAAACUGGGUUUCUUGAGUGCAGGAGAGGAAAGGGGAAUUCCCAGUGUAGCGGUGAAAUGCGUAGAUAUUGGGAGGAACACCAGUGGCGAAGGCGCCUUUCUGGACUGUGUCUGACGCUGAGAUGCGAAAGCCAGGGUAGCGAACGGGAUUAGAUACCCGGGUAGUCC